ACGCUCGACACCUACGGGAGCAGCAGUGGGGAAUAUUGCACAAUGGGGGAAACCCUGAUGCAGCGACGCCGCGUGAGCGAAGAAGUAUUUCGGUAUGUAAAGCUCUAUCAGCAGGGAAGAAACUGACGGUACCUGACUAAGAAGCACCGGCUAAAUACGUGCCAGCAGCCGACGGUAAUCUGAGGCGGGCUGGCAAGGC
RNAcentral lists this ribosomal RNA (199 nucleotides) under uncultured bacterium. RNAcentral describes it as "partial 16S ribosomal RNA". It matches the Rfam family "Bacterial small subunit ribosomal RNA", at positions 328 to 539 of the family's 1533-position model. The record is from RNAcentral.